This 433-nucleotide ribosomal RNA is filed under the name uncultured bacterium. RNAcentral's name for it is "partial 16S ribosomal RNA". It matches the Rfam family "Bacterial small subunit ribosomal RNA", at positions 39 to 507 of the family's 1533-position model. The record is from RNAcentral.
GGGGGGGGGGGGGGGGGGGGGGGGGGGGGGCGGGGCGGGCGCGGGCUGCGGGGUGGGCGGCGGGCGGGUGCGUAACGCGUGGUGGCGUGCCCUUUUCUCCGGAAUAGCCUCGGGAAACUGGGCGUAAUACCGUAUCCGCCCUUUUGGGGAAAGAGUUAUCGGAAACGGAUCGGCCCGCGUUGGAUUAGGUAGUUGGUGGGGUAAUGGCCUACCAAGCCGACGAUCCAUAGCUGGUUUGAGAGGAUGAUCAGCCACACUGGGACUGAGACACGGCCCAGACUCCUACGGGAGGCAGCAGUGGGGAAUCUGAGACAAUGGGGGCAACCCUGAUCUAGCCAUGCCGCGUGAGUGAUGAAGGCCUUAGGGUUGUAAAGCUCUUUCAGCUGGGAAGAUAAUGACGGUACCAGCAGAAGAAGCCCCGGCUAACUCCGUG